GACGAACGCUGGCGGCGUGCUUAACACAUGCAAGUCGAACGGAAAGGCCUGCUUUCCCUUGUGGAUUGCGGGUACUCGAGUGGCGAACGGGUGAGUAACACGUGAGUGAUCUGCCCCCAACUUGGGUAUAAGCCUGGGAAACUGGGUCUAAUUCCCGAUAGGACUGCAGGGUGGUUCCUGUGGUGGAAAACGAUUUUCUAGUGGUUGGGGAUGAGCUCGCGGCCUAUCAGCUUGUUGGUGGGGUAAUGGCCUACCAAGGCGGCGACGGGUAGCCGGCCUGGGGGGGUGGACGGCCACGUUGGGACUGAGACACGGCCCAGACUCCUACGGGAGGCAGCAGUGGGGAAUAAUGCACAAUGGGCGGAAGCCUGAUGCAGCGACGCCGCGUGGGGGAUGACGGCCUUCGGGUGGUAAACUCCUUUCGACCGCGAGGAAGCCACCUGGUUGGAAGGGUGGUGACGGUAGUGGUAGAAGAAGCACCGGCUAACUACGUG
This 494-nucleotide ribosomal RNA is filed under the name uncultured bacterium. Its description in RNAcentral is "partial 16S ribosomal RNA". It matches the Rfam family "Bacterial small subunit ribosomal RNA", at positions 28 to 507 of the family's 1533-position model. The record is from RNAcentral.